Molecule: ribosomal RNA, 481 nt
Filed under: uncultured Clostridiaceae bacterium
Lineage: Bacteria; Bacillati; Bacillota; Clostridia; Eubacteriales; Clostridiaceae
Description: bacterial SSU rRNA
Rfam family: Bacterial small subunit ribosomal RNA
Source: RNAcentral
AGAGUUUGAUCCUGGCUCAGAUGAACGCUGGCGGCGUGCUUAACACAUGCAAGUCGAGCGAGAGAGUUCCUUCGGGAACAAUCUAGCGGCGGACGGGUGAGGUAACACGUGGGCAACCUGCCUCAUAGAGGGGAAUAGCUCCCGAAAGGGAGAUUAAUACCGCAUAAUAUCAUUGAGUGGCAUCAUUUAAUGAUUAAAGGAGUAAUCCGCUAUGAGAUGGGCCCGCGGCGCAUUAGCUAGUUGGUGAGGUAACGGCUCACCAAGGCGACGAUGCGUAGCCGACCUGAGAGGGUGAUCGGCCACAUUGGGACUGAGACACGGCCCAGACUCCUACGGGAGGCAGCAGUGGGGAAUAUUGCACAAUGGGGGAAACCCUGAUGCAGCAACGCCACGUGAGUGAUGAAGGUCUUCGGAUUGUAAAGCUCUGUCUUCAGGGACGAUAAUGACGGUACCUGAGGAGGAAGCCACGGCUAACUACGUG